RNAcentral lists this ribosomal RNA (274 nucleotides) under uncultured bacterium. Its description in RNAcentral is "partial 16S ribosomal RNA". It matches the Rfam family "Bacterial small subunit ribosomal RNA", at positions 523 to 796 of the family's 1533-position model. The record is from RNAcentral.
AUACGGAGGGUGCAAGCGUUAUCCGGAAUCAUUGGGUUUAAAGGGUCCGCAGGCGGAUUAAUAAGUCAGUGGUGAAAUCCUCUCGCUCAACGAGAGAACUGCCAUUGAAACUGUUAGUCUUGAAUUCGGUCGAAGUAGGCGGAAUGCGUCAUGUAGCGGUGAAAUGCAUAGAUAUGACACAGAACACCGAUAGCGAAGGCAGCUUACUAGACCUGGAUUGACGCUCAUGGACGAAAGCGUGGGGAGCGAACAGGAUUAGAAACCCUAGUAGUCC